Molecule: RNA transcript, 4931 nt
Organism: Haliotis rufescens (red abalone)
Lineage: Eukaryota; Metazoa; Mollusca; Gastropoda; Lepetellida; Haliotidae
Gene name: hemicentin-1-like
Exons: 26
Source: RefSeq, a predicted model, not a curated record
AUCGCAAAGUAAACAGAAAGAAGAAAUCAAUCAGGACAACAAACACGCCUUUCGUGUUUCGACUGUGGUUUGGCUAUUUAUUUGAGUCGGUCAACCUCGUCAAGCAGUGAGGGCUGUUCACUGCAGAACAGGAUUGAAGUCAGUUGACAUUUGUGCUGAUAUCAUGAAAACAAGACGUUAUUGGAGUGCAUAGGAUAAUGCACAAACACCCCUCUUAUCACUUUCUAUUAAGUGAAACCAAGGUACGGCACAUCCUAUCAUUCCUGUCUCUACUUGCAAGCAUUGUCUGGUUCUUAAGUGGUGCCAGUGCGCAGGGUUUAGAGCAGGGCAUUGUGAUAAACGUCACCAGCGGUAAAUCAAUCGUCGUAGAAGAAUGGGGGAAUUUGACAAUCACUGCACUCUGCGAAUCUAUUCCGAAUGCAUCUCACAAAAUGUUGAUCAGGAACGAUGCUUUCGUGGUGCCAUCUUUGGUAAACUGCACGUGUCACAUAACGCAGCCGAGCUGCACAUUUACGAUCAGAAAUGUGGAUCGCAGCCACUCUGGCAAUUAUUCAAUCUACGUCAACAAUACGCAAGGAGAACACAAGAGUAUCAUUACCCAUGUUAAUGUACAAUACGCCCCGAUCUGCAUCUGGCUCCAACCCCAGCAGAUGUCCGUCAUAGAGGACGAGAGAGUGACCUUCGAUGUAUCCGUACCGGUGCCGAACCCCCCUGUCUCCUCCGUCCAGUGGCUGUAUCAGGGCAGCCCCAUCAACAUCACCAACCCCAGAUACAGUGGCGGCACAGUCGCCACACCACCUCUUACUAUAGGCCCAGCAGUCAGGAGCGACGCCGGGGUGUACAACUUCACGGCUAGCAACAUCAUCGGGGGGCUCACACAAUCAAACUGCACUACCAAUCUCACUGUUUACUAUGGUCCUGAUCUAGACUGCGUGGGCCCACAAACUGUAACAAUCAAUGAGACGGACAGUUAUACAUUUGCAAUUGAUGUUACGUCUUAUCCGAUCUUAUCACGUGUCGACUGGUUCAAGGGGGGAAACCUUGUAGACAGAAGUGACACACGUUUCGUCCAUGGUAACGUCUCCAGUCCGUCCUUAACGCUGAACAACGCUAACCGUAACGACACCGGGCGCUACAGCGUCAACGUCACAAGCGACGUCACUCGACGUUUUGUUUACGGUUGUUUUACCAACCUUACAGUUCAAUACCGACCAAGCUGUCAGCUCCUACUUCCACCUCAAUAUGACAUCACUGAAGGUAGCAGCAUUACAAUCAACGUCACAGUGAUGUCGUUACCUUCUCCAACGUUUGUGGGCUGGAACCUGAACGGCACCGCCAUCGCCAGAAACAACUCUCACUACAGUGGCGGUAACGUUACAGUCCCAUCCCUUACCAUAAGCGACAUACGGCGAAAUGACACUGGGUUUUACUCCAUACAAAUCAACAAUGUCGUGGGCGGAGUUGUAGAUAACUGCCGGGUCUUCGUCCGAGUCCUCUAUCGCCCUGAGUGCAUUAUCCUGUCAAACACCUCCUUAUGGGUCAACGAACAUUCUUCCCUAACAAUCCACGCCGCCAUCGACGCCGUCACGCCACCGACCGUGGUCGACUGGAAACUCAACAACACCCCUGUCAGUAGGACCGGGGGUCGGUACACUGGAGGCAACAGCUACCAGAACCCAUCGUUGAACAUUUCGGGUAUCACACGUGGAGAAGCGGGUACAUACACCCUGACUGCUUCGAACGCCGUCGGAAACGUUGUGAACGAGUCGAACUGCAACGUCAAUGUUGCCGUACAAUAUCUGGACAAUUGCCCCGACCGCAUCUAUUCGGCGUGUGAAAAUGGAUCACAAAUCCUUAAUUGUUCGGUGAGAUUUCUGCCAUCUUUGAACACUGUGACGUGGAGAAAGAACGGGGCUGUACUGGAUGUGUCCAGUCCCCGCUACGGCGGUGGAACUGUAUCUUCACCUGAUCUCACAAUUUCCUCUGUUCUGCCAAGUGAUGAUGAUGUCUACACCUGCGAAGUAGAGAACGUCGUUGGUGUAGCUGGAUGCCAGAUUACAUUGAACGUCUUCACUCGACCCACCGUCUUCGUGUCACUCAGGAACAUAAUGUUGGUGGAGGGACAAACCUCUUCCAUAGGCUGCUCCGUGGACAUGCGCGUGAAACCAAAUCCCGCCGUCGUUCACUGGUUUAAAGAUGGCAUCAAUCUCAACUCUCCCUCUGGUCGGUAUGGUGACGGGGAUCUAAACAAUCCCAGUUUAAGAAUCUCCGAUAUCAAGCGCCAGGAUGCAGGGUCGUACACGUGUGGAGCAGUCAACGGUGUCGGCGACAGUCACUCUGACGACAUUACUGUCACGGUGGAAUAUCCGCCAACGGUCGUGGUAAAAUACAAUAACUACGGUUUCCACGAGGGAUCUGACACAACGUUGUGGUGCUAUGUCAACUCAUACCCUCUCGUGUCUCCAUCAAACAUCACGUGGGUGCGUGAUGGGCAGUUUGUUAUACCCAGCACGUCCUGUAGUGACGUCAGACCCAACUUGCGGAUGUGCAAAGUGGACACGAAUACGGCUGGAAGAUACAUCUGUAGAGCCCGCCAUCGACUGGCAUCUGUUGGUAGCGAUAUCAUUACUGUACACAUCAGAGAUGUGUGUCCUACAGUCGUUUACGAAAAUGUUACCCUAGAUGAUUCCACAAGUACAAGCUCGGGGUGUAUCAGCGGUCGUCUCAAGGUCCAGCUGAAAGGAACGUCAUCUAGCGGCACUGUCUGUGGUAAGACAUGGACCUCGGCGGAAACGGGAGUUGUCUGUGGCAUGAUGGGAUACAGGUAUGGCGGUCAUUGGAUGAGGGGUGGAGGCGGGGGACCAAUACAUCUCGGUGACGUCACUUGUUUAACAGGGGCGACAACUCUAAAUCAAUGUCGACUUUCCUCCAUUUCAAACUGUACUCACGACAAUGACAUCUGGCUAAUGUGUUGUCAUAUAAGAGUGACGUCUCCAGCUGCGGCGGUGCUAACGACCACAGCAAUCCCAACAACCCCAUCAACCUCAUCAACCCCAACAACCCCAACAGCAGGAUCGACUUGCCAGUGCUGGGAUGAAGUGACCUCUCUCAAAAUGAUUGUGAUUGUCCUCGGUAUCGUUAUCGGCUGCCUGAUUAUCGCUAUAGUCGUCAUGUGCUGCGGGUGGUGCGGGUGGUGCGGGUGGUGCGGGUGCUGUUCAUGCUUCUCGAAGUGGCCCUGUGGAGGUGGAACGAAAUGGGGUGAUUGUCGUCGUAACAACGUUGGCGAGGGUGGUUACGAGAGUGGGCCUGGCUGUCUAUGUACUCACAAGCCACACUGUAGCUGUAAAGGAAAGAAGACAAAAGGACAAAAAACGCAAACUCCACCAACAAACCAAUGGUCAAAACCCACAGACCCAAUUUUACAGAAACCCAGGCCAGAUACAAAGCGCCGUAAGCUACAGAAACCCAGGCCAGACCCAGAGCCCCUUAAGUGUAGCGACUCAUCAAGAAGUGGCAGUGAGGAUGAAUACAACAAGCGUGAACAUAAAGAAAGAAUGCCGGCGUCACCCAGUUCGAGUUACUCGCACGUUGAAGAGAUAUCUACACACCCCGUGGACAACACACACACUUCAAAAGAUGACAAUCGUGAUCUGAUGUCUCCACCUCUCAAAAAAGAUGGUUCUAGCUCAACUGGCGGAGACCGUAAGGCAAAGAAGCCAUGGCAACGACCGAUAACUGAGAAUGGUUUGCCAAGUGUGGAAGAAGAUGACCGCCCAACAACAGGUUCUUCUGAUUCGAAAGAAAGAACGAUGGGUCAUAACUUGCCCGCGGAUGAUGAUGUGAAUAACGCAAUCAACGGUGUUCUGCCGAGAGAGAAGAAAGUCAAAAAGAAGAGGAACAAAUUAAAAUCGAGGAGACACGAGGCAUUGAUAGAUGCCUCAUUCCCAGAUGUCAUUCUGCGUGAUGAUCGAAAGUAUAGCGCCAUGGAGGACUCAAAUGCCUGAUUCACCUUUAUAUAAAUGUCAUCGCAUCCCAGCUGUGUGGAUCGAUGCUCACAAUGUCAAUCACUGGAUUGUCUGGUCGAGACUCGAUUAUUUAUAGACCGCCGUCAUGUAGCUGGAGUGCGGCGUUAAACAACAAACAAACAAACAAACAAAUUAUAUAAAUGUAGAGGGGUUGCAUCGGACAUUAUUAAUAUAUCCGAAGUUGGAACAAAUGAUUAUUUUGGGGGAAUCGACGAAGCUGAAACCUUAUAUGAAAAGGUAAAAAAUGAAAGAUAUGUAAAUAUUAAGAUAAACAUCCUCCCUAUAAAACAAAGAAACUGUGAAUGAUACCAGGUAGUUUUUGUUAAGUGAGUGAGUGAGUGAGUGAGGUUUUACGCCGCUUUUAGCAAUAUUCCAACAAUUUCACGGCGAGGGACACCAGAAAUGGGCUUCACACAUUGUACCCAUGUCGGGAAUCGAACCCGGGUCUUCGUCGUGACUAGCGAACGCUUUAACCACUAGGCUACCCGACCGCUUCAGUUUUUGUUAAGACAUCUUGGGUUUCGUGAUCAACGUAUGCUUCUUUCCUAUAAUUUUAUGAUGAAACAUAACAUUGACAUAUUGUACAACGCAACUAUUUCAAAGUCUUUUGCCAAACAGUCAAAUAAAACUCUAGCGUAAGUUCACUGCAGUCGCUUUGGUAGCACUGAAGUCGGUUGUACAAAAACAAACCAGAUCAAAAUUAAAACAAAUCAUUGUUCAGAAAGUUAAUUAAAACCAUACUUUAGACAACUAGGAAGCCAAUCUAGACCAGCUUACUUGAGAUCAGACCCGUGAAGAUUCCGGGGUAGAAUAGGUCUUCAGCAACCCAUGCUUGUCGUAAAAGGUGACUAUGCUUGUCGUAAGAGGCGACUAACGGGAUCGGGUGGUCAGGCUCGCUGACUUGGU